GCCCAGGUGGUGGAAUUGGUAGACACACUAUCUUGAGGGGGUAGCGGCGCAAGCCGUGGGGGUUCGAGUCCCCCCCUGGGCACCA
RNAcentral lists this transfer RNA (85 nucleotides) under Lysobacteraceae bacterium. Its description in RNAcentral is "tRNA-Leu". It matches the Rfam family "tRNA". Rfam says of the family: Transfer RNA (tRNA) molecules are approximately 80 nucleotides in length. Their secondary structure includes four short double-helical elements and three loops (D, anti-codon, and T loops). RNAcentral also lists the same sequence under 1 other name. The record is from RNAcentral. Lineage: Bacteria; Pseudomonadati; Pseudomonadota; Gammaproteobacteria; Lysobacterales; Lysobacteraceae.